AUACUGGCUGAAGUACAGUUCAGCAUAUGGAGUCUAUUCCAAGAAAUGGAGGGAGAGAAAUCAAAACACAUGUUUUUCAAAAGUGCUGGAAUGGCCGGAUUAGCAGAAAUUACAAAUGGUCUGGAAGAGUUAAAAAGGGAUAUAAAGAAACAACUGCUUUCCCUUCAAUUUCCAAGAAGUCUCUGGAAAACACAAAAACAGCACAGUAAUUUGAACAGCCAGAGAUCAUCCAAAACCCUUCAGGAACUGUUCUUCUCCCCACAGAUUUCAUGUUCCCAGCAAUCUCUGUACAAAGCUGUCAGCUCUAAGUGGGCUGGGCAUCAUAUGGAGCAUCGCCUUGCUCGAAGGCUGAAGCAGCCGGUUGGACGUCAGGCAGCACUUGAGGAUGAAAGUCUAGCUGCCUUGGGAAAUACAGAGGCUUUUACUCUGAGGUCCAAAGAAAAAACUACAGAUCAGGCCAGAAGUCACCAUGCAAAUUCCAGUGCAUUUUCAGGUAGAUCUCAACAGAAGGAUAAAACCUGUUUAUCAGAAGAGGAGUUAUUCUUCAAAAGGCACACAACAGCAAUGCAGAGAGGAGUAAAUUUAAAUAAUUGGGUCCUGCCAACCCAGAGAACAGAUGAAAUACCUCACUUGAAGAGCCUGGAGAUUAGUGAUGACAAGGGAAACAACAGAGUGAUGACAGACUCAUUGAAAAGUGCUUUGUUAGAAACUGUUGCUUUAGCUAAAAAUGAGCAUUCCAGUCAGGAUAAUGGAGCAGACAGACCUGUCUACAGUGAAUCCUCAUCACAAAGUACAGCUCAGCUGGAGCCGCAGUCUGCAAGCAGGGCUGAAAAAACAAAGUCUUCUACUCCUUUGUUACUCAGGAGCUGGGAGGUGCCUGCUAAUCUGGGAGAAGAUAAACAACGGGACCCUCCUGAUAGUGACAGAGACAGGACUAUAAUUAGGGGACACAUCAAUAUACCAUAUUCAGUCAGAAAGAAAGUCUUUAUGGUCUACAUUUGUGGAGGUUAUCAAAGUAUAGCAAUUGGAAACCAGCCCCAUUCCCACCACAGACACUCCCACACCCUGAGAUUCCUGGACUAUCAUGUCUAAUUAUUAUUAUUCACUAUAUAGUGCCAGGAAGUCUAGUUUCAGGGAAAGAGCAUAAGACUGGGAGUCAGGAGGUUGUUGUUCUAAGUCUGACUGCCCUUGACUCACUGUUUGGCCUACAGCAAGUUGUUUCAUUUAUUGUCUCAGUUUUUCCAUCUGUAAAGUAAGAAUAAUAAUAUGUACCUACCUAUCUAUCACCUGGGGUUAAUGUGUUAUUGUUUGUACAGUGCUCUAAACAUAUGAAGUGCUAUUCACAUGUAAAGUGUGUGUGUGGGCGGGUGGGGAGGUGGAGAAAGACAGGUACCUGCCCUGAAAAACUUGCUAUCUAAAUAGACAUCAUUUAGGCAAAAAAAGUGUGUGUUAGUGGAAAUGGCAGUCAUCACUAGACUUUUUUUACAUUUAAAUAAGAGUUCCAGGACCCUAGCGUGUGAAACGUCAAACGAGUAUGAACAAGUCAGUCAAUUAAAAAAAGAAACAAUAAAAUUUUCACAUGAUGUCA
Chrysemys picta bellii (western painted turtle) is the source of this 1588-nucleotide long non-coding RNA. The record is from Ensembl. Lineage: Eukaryota; Metazoa; Chordata; Testudines; Emydidae.